AGAGUGAACGCUGGCGGCAGGCCUAACACAUGCAAGUCGAGCGGCAGCGCAGUCGUAGCAAUACGAUGGGCGGCGAGCGGCGGACGGGUGAGGAACACAUCGGAAUCUACCCUGUCGUGGGGGACAACGUAGGGAAACUUACGCUAAUACCGCAUACGACCUUUGGGUGAAAGUGGGGGACCGCAAGGCCUCACGCGAUUGGAUGAGCCGAUGUCCGAUUAGCUAGUUGGCGGGGUAAUGGCCUACCAUGGCACCGACGGGUAGCUGGUCUGAGAGGACGAUCAGCCACACUGGGACUGAGACACGGCCCAGACUCCUACGGGAGGCAGCAGUGGGGAAUCUUGCGCAAUGGCGAAAGCCUGACGCAGCAACGCCGCGUGUGGGACGAAGGGCCUUACUGGGUUGUAAACCACUUUCAGCAGGGACGAUUGUGACGGUACCUGCAGGAAGAAGCCCCGGCAACUACGUGCCAGCAGCCGC
RNAcentral lists this ribosomal RNA (480 nucleotides) under uncultured bacterium. Its description in RNAcentral is "SSU rRNA". It matches the Rfam family "Bacterial small subunit ribosomal RNA", at positions 26 to 518 of the family's 1533-position model. The record is from RNAcentral.